GUCAGACGUCACAGUGAUGCACUGAUACAGCUGAGAGAUACUGCAGCUGCUGAUGGAGGAUCACAAACAACAUAAUGGAUUGAAAGAAGUGGUUUCUUUCUCCAGUGGUUGUGGAAAAAUAUGCAAACUAAUCAGAUUUAGUCUGAAAGGUAAGUUAGAAAGUUCUUGCUUAUAGAAGUGUUAUAUAAAAGUAAUAUGACAUUCACAGUCGUGCUGCUCUUCAUGUCUAUGGUAGAAUCACAGCCGUGCUGAUAUUCAGUAUAACUGCACUCUUGAUCAUGUGAAACUGAUUAAAUGUGGCAGGAUGAAAUAAACAGCACCUGGAGAUCACGUGACCCUUCGGCAGCAAUGCACUCACAGUCCUUCGCUCGUCUCACUUUGUCAGAUAUUGUAUAAUCCUGUCAGUAAAUUUUGAACCACUCUUUUUCUAGCCCACUAUGAGUAUCCCAGCAGUCAAGGACAAUCGAAAAAGAGAGAUUGAACAAUCACCAAUAAAGAAAAAAUUCAAAGAUUCCACCAUCUCCAGAGAGGAUCUCAACACUGCUAUUGCUAACGGUAUCAAGCUAACGCUCAAAGAGCAACAAAGUACUCUCUAUUCGGUUGUGGCUUCGACAGUAAGAGAAGUGAUAGACUCUGCACUGAUCCCAGCACUCCGUGAUCUACAUUUGGAUAUACAAACGACCAACGAUUCUGUUAAAGAACAAAAAGCAGAAGUUGAAAAGCUAGCCAAAAUGGAAAAACAGAGACGUGACCGGGUCGAUUCUGUUCAGGCUGCUGCACGUGAGGAUAGGAGGACAGUCACAAACUCACCAACUCACCAAAAAUGACGGACACUGAAGACAGGAGCAGGAGAAAUAAUGUAUGACUGGUGGCUCUGCCUGAGGGGGCGGAGGGCUCUGAUGCAGCGGGCUUCCUCAGAGCUAAUCUUUCCAGGUGGAUCUCUUCACUGAAAGGCCGUGACAUCGAGAUUGACCGGGCCCGUCGCGUGUAUGACUGAAGGAAAAACUCUGAUCGGCCGCGUACUCUCAUCUUCCAUGUACUAAGAUGGCAUGACAGGUCAGCGAUCCUGAAGGGUGCUCGGCAGGCGUAUCCGGUGAAAUAUACGCAGGACAAUGUCACGCCACUAUUUUUUCAUGACUAUA
Molecule: long non-coding RNA, 1142 nt
Organism: Ctenopharyngodon idella (grass carp)
Lineage: Eukaryota; Metazoa; Chordata; Actinopteri; Cypriniformes; Xenocyprididae
Exons: 3
Source: RefSeq, a predicted model, not a curated record